This 1340-nucleotide ribosomal RNA is filed under the name uncultured bacterium. Its description in RNAcentral is "bacterial SSU rRNA". It matches the Rfam family "Bacterial small subunit ribosomal RNA", at positions 1 to 1369 of the family's 1533-position model. The record is from RNAcentral.
UAGAGUUUGAUCCUGGCUCAAGACGAGCGCUGGCGGCGCGCCUAACACAUGCAAGUCGAACGAGCGAGAGGAGGUUUACUUUCUCAAGCGAGUGGCGAACGGGUGAGUAACGCGUGAGGAACCUGCCUCAAAGAGGGGGACAACAGUUGGAAACGACUGCUAAUACCGCAUAAGCCCACGACCCGGCAUCGGGUAGAGGGAAAAGGAGCAAUCCGCUUUGAGAUGGCCUCGCGUCCGAUUAGCUAGUUGGUGAGGUAACGGCCCACCAAGGCGACGAUCGGUAGCCGGACUGAGAGGUUGAACGGCCACAUUGGGACUGAGACACGGCCCAGACUCCUACGGGAGGCAGCAGUGGGGAAUAUUGCACAAUGGGGGAAACCCUGAUGCAGCGACGCCGCGUGGAGGAAGAAGGUCUUCGGAUUGUAAACUCCUGUUGUUGAGGAAGAUAAUGACGGUACUCAACAAGGAAGUGACGGCUAACUACGUGCCAGCAGCCGCGGUAAAACGUAGGUCACAAGCGUUGUCCGGAAUUACUGGGUGUAAAGGGAGCGCAGGCGGGAAGACAAGUUGGAAGUGAAAUCCAUGGGCUCAACCCAUGAACUGCUUUCAAAACUGUUUUUCUUGAGUAGUGCAGAGGUAGGCGGAAUUCCCGGUGUAGCGGUGGAAUGCGUAGAUAUCGGGAGGAACACCAGUGGCGAAGGCGGCCUACUGGGCACCAACUGACGCUGAGGCUCGAAAGUGUGGGUAGCAAACAGGAUUAGAUACCCUGGUAGUCCACACUGUAAACGAUGAUUACUAGGUGUUGGAGGAUUGACCCCUUCAGUGCCGCAGUUAACACAAUAAGUAAUCCACCUGGGGAGUACGACCGCAAGGUUGAAACUCAAAGGAAUUGACGGGGGCCCGCACAAGCAGUGGAGUAUGUGGUUUAAUUCGACGCAACGCGAAGAACCUUACCAAGUCUUGACAUCCUGCGACGGUGCUGGAAACAGUACUUUCCUUCGGGACGCAGAGACAGGUGGUGCAUGGUUGUCGUCAGCUCGUGUCGUGAGAUGUUGGGUUAAGUCCCGCAACGAGCGCAACCCUUAUGUCAGUUACUACGCAAGAGGACUCUGGCCAGACUGCCGUUGACAAAACGGAGGAAGGUGGGGAUGACGUCAAAUCAUCAUGCCCUUUAUGACUUGGGCUACACACGUACUACAAUGGCGUUAAACAAAGAGAAGCAAGACCGCGAGGUGGAGCAAAACUCAGAAACAACGUCCCAGUUCGGACUGCAGGCUGCAACUCGCCUGCACGAAGUCGGAAUUGCUAGUAAUCGCAGAUCAGCAUGCUGCGGUGAAUNC